This is a non-coding RNA of Xyrichtys novacula (pearly razorfish), 303 nucleotides long. The record is from the annotation of a GenBank genome assembly. Lineage: Eukaryota; Metazoa; Chordata; Actinopteri; Labriformes; Labridae.
AUUCAAACCUCACGUGACAAAGGUGGGUUGAGCGCACAGAUCACAACAUAAACUCCAAAAAUGGCAUUAAAAUUGGAACCAUCUGUGCGUAAAUGACGCAUCGCGCUCCGUGGCCUGGCUCUUCUUUCAUAGAUGUUGGCAUAUAAAAUAAAUUUGGCCCACAAAACUGAAUAUUAUAAUAUCCGUAUGUAGAUAACUCAUCUGAGCACUGAAACAAAUCAUCUGUUCAGCCGCAGCAGCAGCAAGACGGACAGAGGACACGGAGACGUGUCCAGGUCGAGCUGUGCGAGAAAUAAGAGGAAG